Molecule: ribosomal RNA, 468 nt
Filed under: uncultured bacterium
Lineage: Bacteria
Description: partial 16S ribosomal RNA
Rfam family: Bacterial small subunit ribosomal RNA
Source: RNAcentral
GACGAACGCUGGCGGCGUGCUUAACACAUGCAAGUCGAACGGAAAGGCCCUGCUUUUGUGGGGUGCUCGAGUGGCGAACGGGUGAGUAACACGUGAGUAACCUGCCCUUGACUUUGGGAUAACUUCAGGAAACUGGGGCUAAUACCGGAUAGGAGCUCCUGCUGCAUGGUGGGGGUUGGAAAGCUUCGGCGGUUGGGGAUGGACUCGCGGCUUAUCAGCUUGUUGGUGGGGUAGUGGCUUACCAAGGCUUUGACGGGUAGCCGGCCUGAGAGGGUGACCGGCCACAUGGUGACUGAGGUACGGCCCAGACUCCUACGGGAGGCAGCAGUGGGGAAUAUUGCACAAUGGGCGGAUGCCUGAUGCAGCAACGCCGCGUGCGGGAUGCCGGCCUUCGGGUUGUAACCCGCUUUCGCCUGUGACGAAGCGUGAGUGCCGGUAAUGGGUACAGAAGCACCGGCUAACUACGUG